GACACCGGCGUAGUGAUCGUCGAGAAGACGACGACGGCGGCGGCGGCCAAGGCGACGCCGGCGGCCGUGAAGAAGAUCGUCGAGGAGAAGAAAAAGGAGGAGGCCAAGAACAAACAAGAAGCUGUCACCGAUGAUAAGAAGAAGGAGAAGGUGAUUCCGACCAAGGUCGCCAUUGAUGAGAAGAAAGAGGAUGUAGUAGUGCCAAUGAAGGAGGAGUUCGUCAAGGAGAAGGAGAAGAUCACUGACGCCAAGAACGACGUCGCAUCAACCGAGAAUGUCGCCGCCGUCGAUGAGAAAAUUAAAGCAGAGGAGGACAAGAACAAGAACAAGAACGACGACGAGGUUGUUGCCACGGCAACAAUGGAGGCAGCCGUCGAGGAGGAAGACGACGACGAGGCGGCAUUAGCCGAGGACGACGACGACGACGACGAGCAGCCCAACGACGACGAAAGCAUCACCUUCGCGGUUGCCCCCGUCGCCGAGGACGACGAAGGCAGCGUCACCUUCCCCGGCGCCCGUGCCCGGCCGGUCGUCGCCAACGCCGACGAGGUUCAUCAGGAGGAUGACGUCACUAGUGUCACCUCGCCGACGACUGCCCCGGCCACCCUGGAGAAUGACACCAGUAGUAGCGCCGCCGCCGCCUUCCCGGCCGCUGUCCCGGCGCCGGUGGCCGGCGAGGAGGUAGCACAACUAGAGCAACCUAGCUCUUCUAAGUCCAACAAUGGCGAAAUGGAGGCGGUGACCGGAGUUGAUCAGGCAGAAGAUGCCAAGAAGGAGACAAGCAACAUUGAGGUGAUCAAUGUCGAACAGGAGGAGAUCAAGGUCGAGGAGGAGGAGGAGAAGAUCAUCGUCUCACAGGAGACAGAGGAGGAGGAGGAGAAAUCCGCUGUCAUUUCGAGAGAUGAGAUCACCAAGGUCGAAGUCGAACGCGAGGAGAUCAAGGUCGAACACGAGGAGAUCAUCGUCUCCCAGGAGACAGAGGAGGAUCAGAAAUCCACUGCCAUUUCGAGAGAUGAGAUGAAGACGUUCCCAUGUGCAGGGCAAUCAGAUGGGAAACAAACAAUUGAAUUGAAGGAGGCCAUGACAACAACAAAAACGGAUGAAAAAGGAGAGGAGCAGGUCGCUACGGAGAAAAAGGAUGACGAACAAGAACAACAAGCCACCGCCGCUCCAAUUGAGUCGCCCAAACAAGAACAACAAGCCACCGCCGAUCCAAUUGAAGCACCGCUGAAUUGAAAUUUGAAAAUGAGACGCAUCGUACCAAACAAAAUGCAUUGCUGCAUGCCUCCACGAAAUGUCCAAUUUUUCUCCCUUCAGUUUAUUAGCAAGAAACUGUACAUGAUGCUUAUCUGUUCUUGUUGGUUAAAUACUUCAUCUUCAACUGAGAUGAUGACUGCUGUUUUGUGCAAUUUCGAGUAUUUAACGUUGAUUAGCAUGUGCUGUAUAUGUAUUAUUUAAUAAGCACGUAGAUUAGGGGUUGCUUGGCUUGUAAUACAGCCACGAGGGGAUCAGUAAAUUGAUCUCUCAU
This 1528-nucleotide long non-coding RNA is filed under the name Oryza sativa Indica Group (long-grained rice). RNAcentral describes it as "lncRNA OsMH63_01G046180". Lineage: Eukaryota; Viridiplantae; Streptophyta; Magnoliopsida; Poales; Poaceae. The record is from RNAcentral.